Molecule: long non-coding RNA, 3629 nt
Filed under: Olea europaea (common olive)
Lineage: Eukaryota; Viridiplantae; Streptophyta; Magnoliopsida; Lamiales; Oleaceae
Description: long non-coding RNA (OEUR_LNC001646)
Source: RNAcentral
UUCUUUCCAGUUGUGUACACGAAGAAGCACAGAGCAAAAGAGAAUAACUACUGCAAAUAUGACAAUCAACUUCUUCAAUUAUUCACUUCAAGUUUGUACCUUGCGGCUGUGGUUUGCUGUUUCUUUGCAUCAAAAUGUUGCAAGAAGUUUGGAAGAAAACCUACCAUGCAAUUGGCAGCCUUUUUCUUCUUUAUCGGUGUUAUUCUCGAUGCCGCGGCAAUGAAUCUUCCGAUGCUCAUUGUUGGACGGCUUUGUUUGGGUGCAGGUGUUGGAUUUGGAAACCAGGUAUUGAUUAACUGUGAUAUAAAUCAUAUAAUAUAUAUGUAUCUAUAUGUCAUGUCUUUUUCAAGUGAUCUGAAACUUUUUUCCACAACAUCUGGAUGUAUUUUAUGGCUGCAUUCGGAUUUUUUUUUUUUUAAUCUGUUUUUCUGAUUCCUGUAUACUAUGUGGAUAUCAUUAGGAUUUUGAGAAAGUUAUUUUAUGUAUUUUUUUUAAAGAUACUCACAUUAUAUUAGCAUUUAAUUUCAUUGAAGUUAUUCAAUAGAAAUAACUAUUACAGUCAAUUAUUUGUCAAGAUGAUCGAUACAUUUACCAUCUUGUCCAAAAUUUUAGACGAGAUGAUUAAGCCCUCAUUGAAUUAAAUUUCAUUUUUAUCUCUCUUAUUUUCAAUCACACAAUUUUCUAUAAAAUAAUAUUGCAUGUAAAUCGAAAACUUUUCCUUCUUUUUCAAUCAUUCAUUUUUCAAAAAAAUAUUAUUCCACCCAUUAUAAUUUGAAAUAAUGGGGGCAAAAUGGGGCUAAGAUUUAUUCAUUCCAUAUCAUGUUCUUUCAAGUUUUUCCUAAGUUUGUUGUUCUUUUACGUAUACUUUUGUAUGUCGAAGGAUGGGUAUUGCCCGAGUGACGGAAUGGCAACUACCCUGCAACAUUUUGAAUUUUUUUUUUUUAAACUAAGUAGAAAUUUUGAAAUUUUUGGUUAAUAUGUACAUAAUAUGUGUAUUUUUUUUGUCCCUUCAACAAACUGAAUUUCAGGCAGUGCCACUUUUCAUAUCAGAAAUUGCUCCACCAAAGUACAGGGGAGGCCUUAACAUUUGUUUUCAGAUGUUGAUCACAUUGGGAAUUUUGUGUGCCAACAUUGUGAACUAUUUUACUUCCAAAUUGCAUCCUUAUGGUUGGAGAAUCUCUCUUGGUGGUGCUGCAGUACCAGCCAUUAUCCUCGGCUUGGGCUCCCUUAUCAUAGUCGAGACACCUACAAGCCUAAUCGAACGUGGUAAAAAACAAGAAGGUCUAAAAGCUCUAAAGAAAAUCCGGGGAGUAGAAGAUGUCCAAAAGGAGUAUGACGAGAUUCUACAAGCGACUGAAGUCGCUAAAAAGAUCGAUCACCCUUUUAGAAACCUAAUGAAACGGUCGAGUAGGCCUCAACUUAUCUGUGGUACUAUUUUACAAGUUUUUCAGCAGUUCACCGGAAUCAAUGUGAUCAUGUUUUACGCCCCGGUUUUGUUCCAAACCAUGGGGUUGGGAGGAGAUGCAUCUCUAUUGUCAUCUGUAGUGACUGGUUCAAUCAAUUCAGCAUCCACAUUGGUUGCAAUUUUUGGUGUGGAUAUAUUUGGAAGAAGGGCUUUACUUAUUGAAGCAGCCAUUCAAAUGCUUAUUUCUCAGGUUUGUGACAUGUUAAGUAAUUAGGGCUCUAUUGGAGUUGAUUUUAUUUUUCCUUUCUGUAGAAGAAUUUUUUAGAGGAAAUUACCUUAAUAUUUGUUUGAAAACUAAUUUUCAAAAGAGUUUUCUAUUUCAAAAGUACUUUAAAAGGAAACCACGUUGGAUUAGCUUUCUUUAAAAAUUUUUCUAACUAAAACAAGUACUUUUAUAAAAUUAGCCGUCCAAAAACUCCUUAUGUAUCUCAAAAGCUCUUUUUGACUUUUCUAGAGUCAUGCUAGACAGACUCUUAAUACAGUUUGUUUUCUUUAAGGAUGCUAUAAUACAUUGUUGUUUUUUUGCAGGUUAUUACAGGAGUAAUGCUUGAAGAGCAUCUCAAAGCAACAAACUCUAUAUCAAAAGUUUAUGCAUACAUAGUGGUGGUGUUGAUCUGCGUUUUCGUGUCUGGUUUCGCAUGGUCUUGGGGUCCUUUGGGCUGGUUAAUUCCAAGUGAAAUAUUCCCACUCGAGACGAGAACUGCUGGAUUUUUCUUUGCUGUUAGCGUGAACAUGAUUUUCACCUUCUUGAUUGCUCAAGCUUUUCUCACAAUGCUGUGCCAUAUGAAAUCCGGGAUCUUCUUUUUCUUUGCUGCAUGGAUUGUUAUAAUGGGAUGUUGGGCUGUGUUCUUUCUGCCAGAAACUAAGGGAAUCCCCAUUGAUGAAAUGAAUGAGAGAGCUUGGAAAAAACACUGGUUUUGGAAGAAAUAUUUCAAUUCUGAUGAUGAAGCUAUUAAGCCUGUGGGAGAUAAAGCAUCUACUGAAGGGAAGGCUUGAUCUAUAUAUGCAUGUUCUCAAGAGUCAGUCUUGUUAAUUUUUUAGUUUUUUAUUUUUUUCAUGACUGUCUUAUUAAUUAAUUCGAAUCACUCUUUACAAUUUAUUAUCUGAAUUUCUACUUCAAAAUUGUUAUAAAUUGUUAAAUUGGAAGUUGGUUUUCGAAGGCAUGCAGAUUUUUACCCCUUCUAUAUCGCUCAAGUAGUUAAAUUGGACGUCAGUUAGUUGGACUUAAUGUUAAUCUUGUUGUGGGAAUAUAUUGACGAGAAGUAUUCAAUUCAACCUGAGGACAAAACCGAUCUCACUAUAUCCUGGAUUUUUGGGUUCGUGAUCACUAAGGAGUCUCGCUUCUUUCGAAUAUCUUCAUGGAUAUGAUUAAAAGCAUUUCUUGCUAAACUUUGACCGAAAUUAGGACCUUCCCUUUCCUUUGACCAAUGGUUCCUCCAACCAAUUUGUCCGUCCUUUCUAUUUCUCGAUAAGUGGUCACGCUCUUUUGGGUACAUACGUAUAAUCUUAGUCUUUGUUUGAUUCUUUGGAAUGAUUUUCGGGAUAAAAUAUCAGAAUAUUGUCCAAGAAUAUAGAAAAUCAAUCGGACAACCGAAAGUUUGAGGUCCUCGUUUUAAUUUAUGUGGUUAAUAUUAUGAUAAAAAUCAGAAUAAAGUGGCAUACGGUGCUUUCGGGUGCAACAUGCACAUAUGGUGUUCUUUUUCUAUAAAGAAAUUGCCUAGUCUUGUCAUUUCCAAGUGAAAAGCUACCUAUGUUCAUAUUGCCUCCUUGAACGUACGUACGUACGUACUUUUUUUUUUUCUUUUUUUUUUCUGGGACGAGGGAUUCCCAGUAAGUGCGAACGGUAUAUAACAUGUUAUCUAUUUUCAGGAGGAGUUACAUCCAUGGAUGAUUUCUUGUUGAAGUUCUUUCCAGUUGUGUACACGAAGAAGCACAGAGCAAAAGAGAAUAACUACUGCAAAUAUGACAAUCAACUUCUUCAAUUAUUCACUUCAAGUUUGUACCUUGCGGCUGUGGUUUGCUGUUUCUUUGCAUCAAAAUGUUGCAAGAAGUUUGGAAGAAAACCUACCAUGCAAUUGGCAGCCUUUUUCUUCUUUAUCGGUGUUAUUCUCGAUGCCGCGGCAAUGAAUCUUCCGAUGCUCAUUGUUGGACGGCUUUGUUUGGG